Molecule: ribosomal RNA, 407 nt
Filed under: uncultured bacterium
Lineage: Bacteria
Description: partial 16S ribosomal RNA
Rfam family: Bacterial small subunit ribosomal RNA
Source: RNAcentral
GACGAACGCUGGCGGCGCGCUUAACACAUGCAAGUCGAGCGAAGCGGCGGACGGGUGAGUAACACGUGAGUAACCUGCCUUAGACAUUGGGAUAGCCUCGGGAAACCGGGAUUAAUACCAAAUGGUCUAAGAUGGACUCGCGUCCCAUUAGCUAGUUGGUGUGGUAACGGCCCACCAAGGCGACGAUGGGUAGCAGGCCUGAGAGGUUGAACGGCCACAUGUGAACUGGGAAACGGUCCAGACUCUACGGGAGGCAGCAGUGGGUAAUAUUGCACAAUGGAGGGAACUCUGAUGCAGCGACGCCGCGAGAACGAAGAAGGCUUUCGAGUCGUAAAGUUCUUUUAUAUGGGAAGCGGUACCAGAAGAAAAAGCCCCGGCUAACUACGUGCCAGCAGCCGCGGUAAUAC